Long non-coding RNA from Poecilia latipinna (sailfin molly), 1585 nucleotides. RefSeq lists it as uncharacterized. The transcript is spliced from 2 exons. Lineage: Eukaryota; Metazoa; Chordata; Actinopteri; Cyprinodontiformes; Poeciliidae. The record is from RefSeq and is a predicted model, not a curated record.
GAUAUUUACAAUGAUACUUUAAGUGUGAUACUUCUGAUUUUUGAAUUGUUUUGUUAAACCUACAGACAGAAUUUAGAUAAAGUUUAUAGGUUACUACAAAACACUAGUAGCAUAUUAACAUAAUAAAUAAAAACAACAGAAGAACAAAACAAAAUUCUCUGAUUGAUUUUCUGAAGAAACUCAGUGCAAAGAAUUAUGAUUUGAGAGCAAAUCAAAGCCAAAUCUUUUUAACGUGAAGUUGAGAAACUACGAUGAAAAAAUGAAAAAAGUUCAACAGGGGAUCUGAGUCUAAAUUUUCGACUUUGGCACACUAGAAUUGAGCCGAUACCGAUAUAUGCUUAGUUUCGAUCAAUCCACCCACCUCUAAAUCUUAAAAUGGUCAUUCUGAAUUUGAAUCUUUUUUUUUUAACUUCUUGAAGAUCAUUUCAGAACCUCUUGCUCCAUGAGUUUUAGAAUCAUUAAACCAAAAGUAGCCCAACCAUUUAAAAAGGAUUAAAGCAACACCUGUAUGCUGCUGCUGCUCCUUUAGAUCCAUUAACAAUUACAAACCUCCAUCUGCCUUCUGCCUCUCACCGCCUUCCUGUUCUACAGUUAAACUAAAGCCAUUUUGUCUCAGCGGCACCUCGAGCCGAGAUCAAUGGCAGACUUUAUCCUGGCGCCCCAGAUGUUGCACUCGCAUUUCUCCGAGUCCCACCAUAUGUUGCCCGCGCUGCCAUUUGGGUCCAGAGCGGGCAGAAAGUAGGAACUAACAGGUUAGAUAUCCGCCGCCUGAUUUCAAUUUCAGAGUGUUUUGCCUUCACACGCGCCCAAUAAGACGUGACGUCGCUCUCCCGCACAUGCUAAUUAUCUUGUGUGCCCAACAGGCCCGCGCGCUAGUUUGGGUAUAGAGCACGUCAUGUGUGAAUGUGAGCUGUGUUGAGGGGAGUGUUGGAAACUGCGGGCUAUAAUUACACUCACACAUGCGGCAGCAUCAAGCCACACACACACACACACACACACACACACACACACACACACACACACACACACACAGACAUCCCUGACGAAGAGAGGCGUCGGCUCAGAUAAAGGGGAAUCGGCCGGCCUGUGCCGCCGUCGCACAAAAGGGUGUGAAAAGCGGCGCGCGGAGACAAGAGCGAGAUGAGAGAAAGAGAGAGAUGGACAGACAGAGAGAGAGGCAUAGAGGUUUUGUCCUCUGUUUCACCCCCUCCUCCCAGCUCGGUUCCUCGCAGCCUUGACGGCUCCACUUUAUUGUAUCCUCAAUGCCAAGGCCCCCUCCGGUAGGUGUUGCAGAUGUAUGGAGACCACAGCAGCGCUCCGACUGUCCAUCAAAACAAUAUAGCUCAUAAACAUGACAGGUGCAUCUGCUUUAUUUCUCCUGUUUAAUUCGGUGCCGUAGUUGUUGGUCGGUUUUGUGUUCAGAUAUUCCUGUCUGUCCGUCGAGGGCUGAAUUUCUUUUGGCAAAGAUUUAUUUGCUAAUGCUAAUCCAGCAGGCGCGUGACUCAGCCUGAGCAGUAGUGGUGUCUUCUUCCGGGUUGCAAAAGUUCUCUGAGUUGUUUGUUGGAUGGAGUGAUUUCUACUUGUU